This 867-nucleotide ribosomal RNA is filed under the name Triticum aestivum (bread wheat). RNAcentral describes it as "partial small subunit ribosomal RNA". The record is from RNAcentral. Lineage: Eukaryota; Viridiplantae; Streptophyta; Magnoliopsida; Poales; Poaceae.
AUGGCAGAAUGCUUCAAUAAGGUGCUCAAGGGUGUACGUGCAUUACCCGUGACGGCAAUAGUUCAAUACACAUUUGACAAGAUGAAUGUAUACUUUUUAAAGUACUCAAUGGAGACAGAUAAGCAGAUUGCUAGUGAGAACAAGGAUAAGCACAAGUACAAUUUCCCACCAAAGGUUGAAGAAUGGUUGGAAUUUCAAUCAUGAAAGGCAGACUCCCAAGAAGCUGUACUAUAUGACGACAACGAGUGGAAGUAUGAGGUGAAAGAGCCUGGAGGAACCACAAACUAUGGCCACCAACACGGAGGCCGGGCUUUCAAGGUCUCCCUAACACGGUGUGAUUGCAGCUGCAUGAGGCCAUUGUUGCUUCAUCUCCCAUGCUCGCACUUGUUAAACACAUCCCGUGUUAGGAAUGUGGACGUCAAUCACCCUCUUACCGUGAGGGAGUCAGAGUUCUCAAUCAUGGCGGUAAAGAAUACAUGGGCUCCACGGUUUCAGCCAUACUUGGACCAAUCACAAUGGCCGGAGUAUUAUGGAGUUCAACUAUGGCCGGACCCGGAAUCGAAGGUCGUUAGACGGGGAAAACGUAAGACAAAGCAUCUUAGAGGUGACAUGGAUGUAUGGGGCCAUGGUGGGGGUGGAGAAUACGGCACCGACCAAUUCCAAGAGCCUCAUGAGCAAUCCCGUUGUGGGGACUGCAGUCAUGGGGGACACAACACAAGAACUUGUCCCAAACCAAGAAAGAGAUCAAAGAAAAAUGGUGCAAGCACAAGCCAAGCAAAUGAUAGCCAACCAAGUCAACCAAGGAGUAGCCAACCAAGUCAAACAAGUGGUGGAGUGCCAAACCAAUCAAAUCAAACAAGCCAAUGA